GGCGAAACGAAACUUGUGAAUCGUGCAUUUGCUCUUCAUGGUAGCUGCCAAAAAAUCGAAUCAAACUUAUGGGACACUGGAUUACAGGUUGCUGCCACUACUCCAUGUGCCCGCAAUUGUCUUGCGUGUAUGAUUACACUAACGGCGUCGCCCACCACGGCGGAAGUGUUUUGCGUACACGCGUUUCAGCAUGAAGCCUGCAGGUGGACGUAAAUUGUAGAAGGCAGCUAGUGGGGGAGAAGAUCAUGGUCAUAGGUCAUGUGACUCCUGGAGCUCCCAGUGGGUUCCCUUGUGGAGUACUUUUCAGAACACACACACACACACAGUUUGCUCACAGAACCAACGAGUAGGAUGUUGCUUGAAUACUGAGAGAAAAUGGCGUAACACAUACAAAUAUCGUGUGACACAUAUGACAAUAAAAACAUUUUUCACGAGGGAUGCAUGAAACACUGUCGCAAUAUUGUGUGCAUGAACCAUUGUGUGUGACACAAGCCCUGGGGGCACACCGCCUCGGACACAUUUUGGGAAGCAUAAAACACAGUAUAUACAGAGCUACUAUGGUGGAUGCUUCUUUUUUCUUUUUGGCCGUUAUGAGACAU
Ornithodoros turicata is the source of this 599-nucleotide long non-coding RNA. RefSeq lists it as uncharacterized. The transcript is spliced from 3 exons. The record is from RefSeq and is a predicted model, not a curated record. Lineage: Eukaryota; Metazoa; Arthropoda; Arachnida; Ixodida; Argasidae.